This 332-nucleotide unclassified non-coding RNA is filed under the name soil metagenome. RNAcentral's name for it is "partial contains 5.8S ribosomal RNA, internal transcribed spacer 2, and large subunit ribosomal RNA". The stretch from base 1 to 120 matches the Rfam family "5.8S ribosomal RNA", at positions 35 to 154 of the family's 154-position model. The record is from RNAcentral.
GAUGAAGAACGUAGCGAAAUGCGAUAAGUAAUGUGAAUUGCAGAAUUCAGUGAAUCAUCGAAUCUUUGAACGCACAUUGCGCCCCCCAGUAUUCUGGCGGGCAUGCCUGUUCGAGCGUCAUUUCAACCAUCAAGCCCUGCUUGUGUUGGGGUCCUGCGGCUGCCCGCAGGCCCUGAAAACCAGUGGCGGGCUCGCUAGUCACACCGAGCGCAGUAGCACAUCUCGCUCAGGGCGUGCGGCGGGCUCCAGCCGUUAAAGCACCCACCUUUCGCAAGGUUGACCUCGGAUCAGGUAGGAAUACCCGCUGAACUUAAGCAUAUCAAUAAGCGGGA